ACAGAUGAGGAAAAUACCAAAUUUGCUCCAGAGUACAUUGCUAGAAAGUUGGAUCCCUGAGAUUCAAUUUCAUGUCCAUCUGAACCCAAAACGGUGACUUAGCCUCAGUGUGAAAUUACCCCACAGAUACCAAAAUAACCCCUGCACAGGAUUCCACAGCUUGGAGUCAGCCUGCUCCCCAACAGUGAGAAGGUGGGGCUUCGAGCAAGCCCUGGCUUUGCCACCUCCGACUGUUGAGGCCGAUCUCAAGCCUGGACUUCCUCACCGGGGACAUGAGUUCCCCGGCCCGGAGUUGCGGUGAGGAUGAAAUGAGAUCACAUGCAGGAAAGCUCUUAGGCAGCAAUGCGGAGCCGCGGAGCCAUUCUCAGGCGGGCGUGUUACUACUGUUUUGCACAGUGUGGGCUUGGCGGGUGUUUGUGGAGCGGAGCCGGAGGCAGGUAAGCAGUUAUUAUAGCCGCUUUCCUAAUAAUGUGCUCGGGAACAAACCCACUUGAAAGCGGCAGCAGGAGAAGGUUAUGAGAAUCUUGAUGAAAGCAGCUGAUUAGAAACUCCUGGAAGUUCUUUACUGAAAGAACCGCAGCACCCAGAACCACCACCAGGGUCCCCCUCAGAACCCCAGAAAUUACAAGGUGUGGCCUCAUCUCUGUGUUCUCGUGUGCCGGCCAGGUCAUUUCGUUGCUGUUAAA
RNAcentral lists this long non-coding RNA (686 nucleotides) under Homo sapiens (human). RNAcentral describes it as "HSALNT0001527". The record is from RNAcentral. Lineage: Eukaryota; Metazoa; Chordata; Mammalia; Primates; Hominidae.